GUGCACAGCUCAGUGGUAGACCACUUGUCCAGCAUUCAUGAGGCUCUGGGUUCCAUCCCCAGCAUGUGCAUG
This 72-nucleotide transfer RNA is filed under the name Marmota monax (woodchuck). Its description in RNAcentral is "tRNA.Ala". The record is from RNAcentral. Lineage: Eukaryota; Metazoa; Chordata; Mammalia; Rodentia; Sciuridae.